Molecule: ribosomal RNA, 524 nt
Filed under: uncultured bacterium
Lineage: Bacteria
Description: partial 16S ribosomal RNA
Rfam family: Bacterial small subunit ribosomal RNA
Source: RNAcentral
GACGAACGCUGGCGGCGUGCCUAAUACAUGCAAGUCGAGCGCAGGAAAUCGACGGAACCCUUCGGGGGGAAGUCGACGGAAUGAGCGGCGGACGGGUGAGUAACACGUAAAGAACCUGCCCUCAGGUCUGGGAUAACCACGAGAAAUCGGGGCUAAUACCGGAUGGGUCAUCGGACCGCAUGGUCCGAGGAUGAAAGGCGCUUCGGCGUCGCCUGGGGAUGGCUUUGCGGUGCAUUAGCUAGUUGGUGGGGUAAUGGCCCAACAAGGCGACGAGCAAAGGCCAGCCGGGGAGGGUGACUGGCAACACUGGGACUAGGACACGGCCAAGACUCCAACGGGAGGAAGCAGUAGGGAAUCUUCCACAAGGGACGAAAGUCUGAUGGAGCAACGCCGCGUGAACGAUGAAGGCCUUCGGGUCGUAAAGUUCUGUUGUAAGGGAAGAACAAGUGCCGCAGGCAAUGGCGGCACCUUGACGGUACCUUGCGAGAAAGCCACGGCUAACUACGUGCCAGCAGCCGCCGUAA